CAGGAUGAACGCUAGCUACAGGCUUAACACAUGCAAGUCGAGGGGCAUCACAGUGUAGCAAUACACGGGUGGCGACCGGCGCACGGGUGCGUAACACGUAUCCAAUCUGCCCGUUACUCGGGGAUAGCCUUCUGAAAGGAAGAUUAAUACCCGAUGGCAUGUAUUUCCGGCAUCGGAGAUACAUUAAAGAUUUAUCGGUAACGGAUGAGGAUGCGUACGAUUAGCUUGUUGGCGGGGUAACGGCCCACCAAGGCGACGAUCGUUAGGGGUUCUGAGAGGAAGGUCCCCCACACUGGAACUGAGACACGGUCCAGACUCCUACGGGAGGCAGCAGUGAGGAAUAUUGGUCAAUGGGCGCGAGCCUGAACCAGCCAAGUAGCGUGAAGGAUGACUGCCCUACGGGUUGUAAACUUCUUUUGUUUGGGAAUAAAAGACGCUACGUGUAGCGUUCUGCAUGUACCUUACGAAUAAGCAUCGGCUAAUUCCGUG
Molecule: ribosomal RNA, 489 nt
Filed under: uncultured bacterium
Lineage: Bacteria
Description: bacterial SSU rRNA
Rfam family: Bacterial small subunit ribosomal RNA
Source: RNAcentral